AUUUAUAUAGUUUAAAAAAAACAUUAUAUUUUCAUUAUAAAAUUAGAUUCUUCUUAUAAAUA
This 62-nucleotide transfer RNA is filed under the name Arachnobas tricolor. RNAcentral's name for it is "tRNA-Glu". The record is from RNAcentral. Lineage: Eukaryota; Metazoa; Arthropoda; Insecta; Coleoptera; Curculionidae.